GAGACAUUGACGACAGUGGUGAUACGAUU
Molecule: non-coding RNA, 29 nt
Filed under: Homo sapiens (human)
Lineage: Eukaryota; Metazoa; Chordata; Mammalia; Primates; Hominidae
Source: RNAcentral